UACUGAAACCCCUAGAUAAUGAUUACGACCGAUUAUACAAGAUGCCAUGUUCCUUAAUCAUAUCACUUACAUUUCUGCUGAACGGCAGUGACAAGGUUUUGAAAGGAGAAGAUCACAGCUGUCCAAUAAAAAAAAAAUCAGAUAAACCACACAGUGUUUGCAGACAGAAGAUUAUGCUAACCUGAAAAGUAGCUUUAGUGCUGUUGAUAUUUGCACUCUCCCUAACUGAGCUGAACCCUCAUUCAUCCUCUCUGUUUGGCAUCGCAUCUGAAAUGGAGGUGAUUGAUGCAUGAGCAGAUUGCAGGUCUCAGAGUUCCGGGCACUGCAUACCAGUCCUGAAGCAGACAGCUGGAGUGAGAAAAUCCUCUCCUUGCCCUAGAGAACACGUGAAACCAAUGAAUACUCUUCCAGGAGAGCAGAUUCUUUUCCCAUAACCCACAAUGAAUCAACAAGUUUCAAGUGAGAUCGAGACUACUUGAGAUUCUUUCGGAUUCAGUUGUGCACAUAUGGACGGAUGCCAAUGGAACCAAUGGAAUGUCUCUGAGUAUACAUUCAGUGUGGCUGAGUUCUGCUUAUAAGGCAAGCUCAGACUUAAGCAUGGGUUGUGGCCUAAACAGAAAAAACAAUGUAGAGACAUAAAGUUCACCAAGACAUGGAAGCCAUGGUAAAAAGAGGUCCUGAACAAGCCUGAAGUUCUCUGCAGCCAUAAAGAGGUGUAAUACUACACCUGAGUGGAUGUGUCUGAACUACAGCAAGUACCUUGGAUAACAGUACUGGAGUAACAGCCACAUGAACUUCAAUACGCAGUU
Corvus hawaiiensis (hawaiian crow) is the source of this 809-nucleotide long non-coding RNA. RefSeq lists it as uncharacterized. The record is from RefSeq and is a predicted model, not a curated record. Lineage: Eukaryota; Metazoa; Chordata; Aves; Passeriformes; Corvidae. The transcript has 5 exons.